Molecule: ribosomal RNA, 496 nt
Filed under: uncultured bacterium
Lineage: Bacteria
Description: partial 16S ribosomal RNA
Rfam family: Bacterial small subunit ribosomal RNA
Source: RNAcentral
GAUGAACGCUGGCGGCGUGCCUAAUACAUGCAAGUCGAGCGAACAGACGAGGAGCUUGCUCCUCUGACGUUAGCGGCGGACGGGUGAGUAACACGUGUAUAACCUACCUAUAAGACUGGGAUAACUUCGGGAAACCGGAGCUAAUACCGGAUAAUAUAUUGAACCGCAUGGUUCAAUAGUGAAAGACGGUUUUGCUGUCACUUAUAGAUGGAUCCGCGCCGCAUUAGCUAGUUGGUAAGGUAACGGCUUACCAAGGCAACGAUGCGUAGCCGACCUGAGAGGGGGAUCGGCCACACUGGAACUGAGCACCGUCCCAGACUCCUACGGGAGGCAGAAGUAGGGAAUCUUCCGAAAUGGGCGAAAGCCUGACGGAGCAACGCCGCGUGAGUGAUGAAGGUCUUCGGAUCGUAAAACUCUGUUAUUAGGGAAGAACAAAUGUGUAAGUAACUAUGCACGUCUUGACGGUACCUAAGCAGAAAGCCCCGGCUAACUACGG